Molecule: non-coding RNA, 644 nt
Organism: Spodoptera litura
Lineage: Eukaryota; Metazoa; Arthropoda; Insecta; Lepidoptera; Noctuidae
Source: RefSeq, a predicted model, not a curated record
AUAAAGCGCAUUGCAACUGCAGCGCUCCCGCCAACACAACGCGUUCUAUUUUUAAACAUUUGAAUUUCAAGUUUCAAAUUUUCUUUUUUCUUCAUCUUCUUUGUUUUUAAAAACAUCAAGAUGCCUUGCGGAGGUUGUGGUGACAACUGUAAAUGCAGCGCAAACCAGUGCUGUACAUCAUGCAAGUGUGAUGCAUCUUGCACUUGCACCUGCAAACGUACAACAACCACCACAGACACUGCAAAGGACACCAAAAAGUAACCGUCGUAGCAUUAAGCCUUUUUCGUCAAUAAUAAAAAAAAACAAUCAUCGAUGGUCAUGGGUUUCAAAUUUCAUAAUUGGAACACAACAUUUCUUUAUUUGAAUAAUUUGACAUUAGGAAUGGUGCAAAGUGUGAAAAAUUAAAACUGGAAUGUUUUUACGUAACAUUUUAUUUUCAACAAAUAAAACAACUGUUUAAAUAGUAAUUUGCUAUAUGUAUAAAUAAAUAAAUAAAUUACUCAUUCAUAUCUACUUCGUUUAUCAAAUAAACUGCAUAGUUUAUUUGACAUGACAUUGUUUUCCAUCAUUCACCCGAUGAUCACUUUGUGGAAUCCACCAUUUUGCUUUUCAUUGUUGAAAGAAAAUAAAUCAUUAUAACCAUA